GAACACUCACGAUAAUUUAAAAUGGGGAGAAGUUUUCGAUGUAGGAGGAUGGCACGACGAGUUACCGCCGGGUGGCAGAUCGGGACAGACACGAGUAGCAACGGAAGCGUGACGAGCGCGGGCCGCCGGUGCGGCGUCCUCUCGGCACCGUACACACGCCGCUGUCGCCGCUUAUGCUGCUGUUCUCGCACAUGGUCCGCUUGGAGUUGGAGCAGCGGCGGCGCGAGGGGUUCUUGCGGAGCCGCAGCGGGUUGGAGAAGCGGUGGCGGCUCCGGCCGCGGCAGGGCCUCUUCCAGUGCCGAGAGCGCGAGACGGCGCCCCUGCGGUUGAGGUCCCGGACGAGGUCGACGGAGCGGUUGCGGAAGCGGUUGGAGGGGUUGCAGACGGGGCCGAAGUUCCUUCGGCAGUAGAUGAUGCUGCGGACGUACGAGGCGAUGAGGCUGCACGUCAAGGAGAGGCGGCUGCUGAGGCCGGGGGACCCGCACCUCGAGUGGAUGUGCCAGGCGUUGCUGCGGUUGCGGUGCAGCCUCGGCCCGGCCAUGGUCGCGCGGCACCGGUGCGAGUACUUGCGGUGGCGCCUGAUGCGGCGCAUGUUGAGGUGCGCGGCCAUGCGGUGGCCGGUUCGGCUGGAGCUGGCCCUCAAGGGGUUCCACAUGUCGACCCGCGUCACGUGGGGGCUGGACUGCGGCCCGGCCACGGCCCUGACGGAGCGAGUCAACUAACGCGUCAACGGCCACGUCAAAUGCCUGUCAUAGCCCCCGUCCGAAGAACCAGGGGCUACGUCGAAGCUCAUGCUCUGGUUCGGGAAGUAGUUACCGGGCCACUAGCACGUCGACGGUCGUUGCAGCCGCUCGAGACCUCGCGGCCGCGGCCGGCAUCACGGGUGCGGAGGACGUAGGCGCUGUCGUCUCCCCUCUUUCAUGUCACAAGGACCGUACCAAGAAUAGUAAGACGACGGAUACUAUCGUCGGUAUUUGGAGCAGCGAACCGAGAAAAGUACCUCCUCCGCCGUCCAUAACUCUUUCCGUUUCGUUGGUCUGGGUUUAAUAAGGUGGCUACUUCGUCUCCCGUACCUUUCACACCUCAGUUACAAUUAACUGUAAAGUUGAAACGCUCGACGCUGGCUCCUAAAACGUCUUUCGUUAUUUGAGCCGCUUCCGCCUAAACCGGGCCACAUGUUCCCAUGAGAGGAUUCGCCGCUACUCUAGCGCCACUUCUCUGAGAGGUUCUCGAGUUGUGUUCCUCACCUCCUCGACUUCUUACUCGAGCGGAACCAACGCUUUGACUUCGUGUUCUUGGAACAAUCUGAUUAGCCACAGACGAACCUCGUUGUUCUCUCCGACGAGUAGAUACUCAAAUAAGGAUUGGCUUCGGAGCUGGACUAGGAAAAGCUACUUCUUUUUGCAGUUUUUGACCUAACCCUUUGCUCCAUGUUCUAGUAUUUACCUCACCGAGCUCCGGACGUCAUGGAGGUACUUCUGAGAGUCGAGUUUCAUCAUGUAGCACUGGAGUUUCGCUCGUUGCAGAACGAUCUGUACUUGUACUUGGGCUUCUAUAGCCUAAAACCGGAACGCUUCUAAAAGCCCUCUCUGGUCUGGGUCCCACACUGCUUGGCGCAGCAGCCGUGUAUACCUAUGUACCGCGGUCUCAUGCACUACGCACCCUUGAUGAGUCAGUUUAGUCUGCACAAGUCGAAGCCGCAAAACCAGGACCUCUAGCACUACCCUUCCUUCUUGUCACUAACGAUGUUGAGGGUAGUUAGAGUUCUAGAGAACUGGUGUCAUACCCUCGUAACCUGCCGGCCUUGCCACAACCUCUACCGUCUAGGCAGGUACUUGUUCUCGCUACGCAACUCCACGUAGGUACAGCCCGAAAACACGUAGGUCCCGUUGGGCUGACUGGCUGGCUACUACAGCUGCCACCGGUACUACGAGCCGCCGCUGUGUAAGAGUGAGGGACGAGGGAGCUUCGGCCGGAAGAUGAGAUGUUUGCGACCACGGUUAAGUUCGUGGCCCAGGUCGUACAGCUAGGGUAGUCACGUCCGGGCAAGUAUCUUAAAUGAAUUAUCGUUGUUAAAGUCAACGGUCAAGUUCGUGGCCCAGUUCGUACAGCUAGGGUAGUCACGUCCGGGCUAGUAUCUCAAAUGAAGUAGCGUCGUUAAAGUCGUCUUUAUCGGUUACCCAAGACCAGUAUAACAGAAAGCAAGUAUGCUCCUGAUGUCCAAACGACAAGUCGUUGAAUAGCUCGUAGAAUAGGGUAGAAUUUCAACCAAAUAAGCCGUCGGCGUUUACGAUGAGUAAUAUCCCUAAAGUUGUUUCCUUUAAAUAAGUAAUGAUUUCGGUUUCAGUCGUACUCAUGAUAAUACUUUUUUUAAGUCUGUAGUACGAGCUCCUAUUUAAAAACGCCCUUUGACCAUCUGUCAGUGAGUAAAAUUAAACCUGUUGUUGGUACCAACACAAAGGGAUUACACACAAAUUUAUAUAAGUCACACAUAAUUUCUUUACAACUUAAACGUAAAAUAUUUUCAAGUC
Molecule: ribosomal RNA, 2531 nt
Filed under: Triticum aestivum (bread wheat)
Lineage: Eukaryota; Viridiplantae; Streptophyta; Magnoliopsida; Poales; Poaceae
Description: partial small subunit ribosomal RNA
Source: RNAcentral